This 3388-nucleotide long non-coding RNA is filed under the name Capsicum annuum. RNAcentral's name for it is "long non-coding RNA (CANN_LNC011933)". Lineage: Eukaryota; Viridiplantae; Streptophyta; Magnoliopsida; Solanales; Solanaceae. The record is from RNAcentral.
AACAACCAACAAGCGCAUCAAUUACAACAAACAUCAACGCCGGCCACCGCCAAAUCCGAUGAACCACCCAAUUUCGGCAAAGAACCCGAUCGACCCGUCUCCGAUCCGACCCGACAACAAAAUCAACUGUUACGGUUUUUGCCCUGAUUUUCUUACUAUAUUUAAGUUUAUUUUUUCUUAGAAGGAAAAUAAAAGUUACUAUAAUUACUUUUACUUUUCUUGAAAUAAAAAAUAUAAUUCUUUUCCAUAUUUGGCUAAUCUCUUUCUUGGAGGAAAGGUUUUGGACAUCUAUAAAUAGAAGACCCCCUUCUCAUACCAUAACAUAAUAGCAUCCACGAUAUAGUUUUUUAAGAAUUUUAUUUAGGGGGAGAUUUUCUCUCUAAUAGUUUUUAUGUUUUCUUUUAUAUUAGAUUUUUAUAUGUAGGCCAAUUGGCCAAAUUAUAUAAUAAUCAUGCUUUUAGUAUGUUUUUCUUUUUGUCUGAAUUAUCGCAUUUAUGGUUUACAAUUUUAAGCUUCCGCAUGACGCCCUCUCGAUUUCGAACCCAACAAGUGGUAUCAAAGUUACGGUUUAAUGAUCCAAUGGUGUGGUGAGAUGAGAUUAAAAAGGUUCAAAGCGGUUUCAAAAUCAAGCUGCAACCAAUUUGAUGAUAAAGAAGAUAUAUGUCCAAAAGCUACAUGUGGAGAUAAUUGUCAAUCAUAUUUUCAACAAUCAUGCUAUCACAUAUUUGAAAAUAAAGCUCACUUUUAAUCCUGCAAAAGGUCUCCAAUAUUUUUAACCUGAAAAGGGCUAAUAUAUUUUUUAACCUCAAAAGGUUCAUUUUAAAACAUGCCAAACAACAGUGAUAUAUGAAGAAUAUAUAUAAAGAACGAAGAUCAUGGACAAGAAGAAGGAGGAUCAAGAAUAUUUUGAAGAAAAUCAAGCUAAAAGGGGAGAUUUGUUAGGGUUUUGCCUUGAUUUUCUUACUAUAUUUAAGUUUAUUUUUUCUUAGAAGAAAAAUAAAAGUUACCAUAAUUACUUUUACUUUUUCUAAAAGAAAAAAUAUAGUUCUUUUCCAUAUUUGGCUAACCUCUAUCUCGGAGAAAAGGUUUUGGAUAUCUAUAAAUAGAAGACCUCUUCUCAUACUAUAACACACUAACAUUCACGAUGUAGUCUUUUAAGAAUUUUAUUUAGGGGGGAUUUUCUUUCUAAUAAUUUUCAUGCUUUCAGUUAUAUUACGUUUUUAUAUUUAGGCCAAUUGGCCAAACUAUAUAAUAAUCAUAUUUUUAGUAUGUUUUUCUUUUUGUCUGAAUUAUCGCAUUUAUGAUUUGCAAUUUUAAGCUUCUGCAUGAUAUCCUCUCGAUUUCGAACCCAACAUCAGCAAUAUUCCUUAAAUCACGGAAACACAUCUCUCUCCAUCUUAUCUCACCUAGGGCCAUCCUUUUUUACCUUUGCUUGAGAUUGUGUAUUUCCAAACCCAAAAUCCAAUCCAAGUCAGAGGUCAUAAAUUCAAAUCCGAAUUUAUGGGAUAUGUUUCUAUCCCUUGUUAAUUUUUUCAAAUUUUCAACCACUCUCUGUCAAAAAGACAGAAUUUCUUUUGAAUUGUUGAUAAUUUUUUUUCAACUGUAAAGAGGCACUCAUGCUUCCAUUAAAAGGGGGGAAAUUUUUGGAGUUUUGAUGACACUUUUUGACUUACAACAGUUCUCUAUUUUCUUUGUUCGAUUUACUCACACCACUCUCAUUGUUUAUUUUCGUCAUUCGAACUCGGAGUCAGAAUCCGUGGUGGAAUCGCUCUUCGGCUUGUCGUCUUAGUUCGCUGCCAUAAAAAGGGUAAAUAACAUCUCCUUACUCGUCUAUUCUAUUUCGCCAAAUUUUUAUUAUUUGUUGUUGUCGGUAGGAGUUGUCAGAUUGUACGUUUGGCCGAGGACCUAUGGGUCUAGCUUAUAUUUUUUUUUCUUUUAGGCUUUGUUUUUAUUUUCGAUACGCUGACCAUUUGGUAGAGAUUUUUAUGAAAUAGCUCCUUAUGGUUAACAUUGUUUGGUAGAGAUUUUUAUGAAAUAGCUCCUUAUGGUUAACAUUGUUUCGGGUUAGUUCGGUUAACUUUAUUUGAGUAAAAUGGCUGGAUGUUCUAUUUUCUUAUUCACUGCUUGCUAUUUGGUUGGUUAAUUUUGAUAUAGUAGAGGGAUUUUCUUGCGAACAUUAAGGUGAAAUGGCGAACAUCUUAUGGCGUUCAUUGCUUUACGCCUACCUUUUAUCCAUAAAGUACUCAAAUAUUUCCCCACGCUUUACUCUCAUUUUUGGAUUAAAAAAAGUACGAAUCGUUUUUUUUUGUUGAAAAUCACAAUUAUUAGAGUUGGUUAAAUUUACGUUGAAGCCAUAUGUUAGGAAGAGUACAUAUUGUUUUUUUUUUUUGUUGUUGUUGAGAAUCCCCAAGGGAGAAACAAUAUGCUGUGCAGUCUUAACUUAGCUAUAUUGGUAACAUUUUUUGAAAAUUGGAUGGUUGUGACAGUUAGUUGUUGUUAGAUAUCCUUACAUUCUCCCCACCCCUUUUGUAUUUGCUAUCUAUUUUUGGAACAAGUCUUUCACACUAAUUUGGUUCUUGAGUGAGCAUGCGCUCACGUAAAUCUCACAUCCGAAGUGCUCCCAAAUUAAUUAGUAAUUUUCCAUUUAGUGGUUGCCUUAAAGGUCGUUCAAUAUGCAGUUUAUGUGGUAUUUAUCCGUUUUCCUUUAGCAUAACACUAAUUUCAUUACUUUAUCACUAAUAGUUAUAUCUCCUUUUCUAUGCAUGAAAUCCCUCCUCGAGUCCAUCGGACUCCCAUAUCUUGCAUUCGGUUGAGUUAAACCCAUCUUCCAUAGAGUCAAGACCCAUGCCAAGACCGAAAAGGAGACUAAUGUGCAAGAAAAAGGGCUGGUAUACAACUGUAUACUCUGAUAUACAGAUGAUAUACACUCGCAGGCAGCAGCUGCAUGUUGUACCGUGGUUCAUGGUGGAAAAUGGAGUCGAAAUACACAGCUUACCGCACUGAUAUACAUCGUAUACGCGGUGGUAUACAGAAAAACACAGCAAAGGAGUUGCUGAUAUACAGCAGAUAUACAGGGACGAAAGAUGGGCUAAAGUCCAUGAAUUUGGUCCAAAAUUGGACAGAUUUUUAAUGGGCCAAAAAGGGGCCCAAUUCUCACUUUUUUCUCUUUUAUCAUCCAUUCUAACUUAUUUAUUUGUAUUUAUUUGAACAUUUUAAUCAAUUAAUCUAAAUAAAUCCCCCAAGAUAUCUUCAUUUCUCUUUUAUCUUCAUUUUUCCCUUCGUUACUUGAAUUUUUAUUUAUUUAUUUAUGUAUUAUUAUUAUUAUUAUUAUUAUUAUAAAUGAAAUAAAAUAGACUUUACGUUAAUCUUUUUGAACACAAAUCUCUUC